AUUCAGCUGACGAGUCCCAAACAGGAUAAAAGGCGCGUCCUGGAU
Molecule: non-coding RNA, 45 nt
Filed under: Schistosoma margrebowiei
Lineage: Eukaryota; Metazoa; Platyhelminthes; Trematoda; Strigeidida; Schistosomatidae
Source: RNAcentral